This 1080-nucleotide long non-coding RNA is filed under the name Oncorhynchus mykiss (rainbow trout). RNAcentral's name for it is "lncRNA (ENSOMYG00000073932.1)". The record is from RNAcentral. Lineage: Eukaryota; Metazoa; Chordata; Actinopteri; Salmoniformes; Salmonidae.
CUCAGCAGGUCUAGUAAACAGUCUGUUACACAGUCACUCAGCAGGUCUAGUAAACAGCCUGUUACACAGACACUCAGCAGGUCUAGUAAACAGCCUGUUACACAGUCACUCAGCAGGUCUAGUAAACAGUCUGUUACACAGUCACUCAGCAGGUCUAGUAAACAGCCUGUUACACAGUCACUCAGCAGGUCUAGUAAACAGCCUGUUACACAGUCACUCAGCAGGUCUAGUAAACAGCCUGUUACACAGUCACUCAGCAGGUCUAGUAAACAGUCUGUUACACAGUCACUCAGCAGGUCUAGUAAACAGUCUGUUACACAGUCACUCAGCAGGUCUAGUAAACAGUCUGUUACACAGUCACUCAGCAGGUCUAGUAAACAGUCUGUUACACAGUCACUCAGCAGGUCUAGUAAACAGCCUGUUACACAGUCACUCAGCAGGUCUAGUAAACAGUCUGUUACACAGUCACUCAGCAGGUCUAGUAAACAGCCUGUUACACAGUCACUCAGCAGGUCUAGUAAACAGCCUGUUACACAGUCACUCAGCAGGUCUAGUAAACAGCCUGUUACACAGUCACUCAGCAGGUGGGCAGCAGGUCUAGUAAACAGCCUGUUACACAGUCACUCAGCAGGUCUAGUAAACAGUCUGUUACACAGUCACUCAGCAGGUCUAGUAAACAGCCUGUUACACAGUCACUCAGCAGGUCUAGUAAACAGCCUGUUACACAGUCACUCAGCAGGUCUAGUAAACAGCCUGUUACACAGUCACUCAGCAGGUCUAGUAAACAGUCUGUUACACAGUCACUCAGCAGGUCUAGUAAACAGUCUGUUACACAGUCACUCAGCAGGUCUAGUAAACAGUCUGUUACACAGUCACUCAGCAGGUCUAGUAAACAGUCUGUUACACAGUCACUCAGCAGGUCUAGUAAACAGUCUGUUACACAGUCACUCAGCAGGUCUAGUAAACAGCCUGUUACACAGUCACUCAGCAGGUCUAGUACACAGUCUGUUACACAGUCACUCAGCAGGUCUAGUAAACAGUCUGUUACACAGUCACUCAGCAGGUGGGCAGCAGGUCUAG